Molecule: unclassified non-coding RNA, 2106 nt
Filed under: Hevea brasiliensis (rubber tree)
Lineage: Eukaryota; Viridiplantae; Streptophyta; Magnoliopsida; Malpighiales; Euphorbiaceae
Source: RNAcentral
GGAGCGUCAAGAGGGCGUUCAAUUGAUUAGAAAAUAAUCUCCCUUCACCGUUAAUUAGGGUUUCAACUUUCAAUUGAUUGCUGCAUCUUUCACUCAUUAGUCGCAAUCGCAAGGCGCAACCAGUUCUCAGCUAAUCUUAAUCUCUGCUUCAAUUUCUCAGUUUACAGAUAAGCUUGGUUGAUUGACAUUUGAUGAAUUGAUGAUUAUCCGGCUUGCAUAAGGGAUACUUGCUUUAUGUGUUAUUGAAAAAUUGGAGAUUUUUCUGCAGUCUCCUGUUUUGAAGAUUGGGCUUAAUUCCAGGGGACUUGCAUGUGUUGCAUUAGUUAUUUUUUAUCAGCCAAUACAACGCAGAUAAUAUCUAUGAUUUCUUGAGAUGUGCUGUCACCUAUUGUAGCUUUACAAAGGUUGAAAGCCAACUGAAUUGAUUUUGGUAAGCUUUAUAGAAAAUAGCUAAAACGGGUUCACUGUGUUGUGUGGCUGCAAGGCCACAUGGGUCAAAUACGACCAAUGGGGACUGGUCCAUGGGUCAGCAUGAGCCUUACUGGCAAACUAAUACAAGCUUCUCACCACCCCCAUCAAGAUGGGAUUUUAGUUUCCCAUCUGAAGAGCUUCCGUAUGAUUCACGUGAUGGUAACCUACUUUAUACGGUCUCAACAUUAUCAAACAGUAAAGAAAGUAGAUGGAUGAAUGACAACCAUCUUUAUAAUAAUCACUGUUCUGCAUCUGGUGGUGCAGGCCUGCUUUUGAGUAGUCCUCCUGAUCUUUCUCCCGGUCCUCAGUGGACGCCUCCAGUCAUACAGGAAAUUAAUGCUGAUGAUUAUGAAACUGCAACAAAGAGAGGUCAAGUUUUGCUGCAAUUACCUUCCACUCCUAUUAUAGCAGUAUGUAUUCUGUCUGCUGUUGGCAUAUCUAUUAUCUUGCUAUGAUUCAACUUCCUGAAUAGGAUUAAUCCUCUACAGGGAACUUCUGGAAAACCAGAUAGUGGGGGAUCCACUUCAUCCUUUUCAGAUAGCUAUGAGUCCGAGCCCACAUUCAAGUCAUGCCUAUCCUCUCAUUACAACUUUUCAGGUCGUCGUUCCUUUUUGUCAAAACCCAUCCACCCUUUGUUCUUUCCCACCCAAGCUCCAAAAGAAGCUUCUGAAACCCCAGAUACUGGGCUGUCUGAGUUUGACGCUGCUACUGUGCAAAGAGAUGCCCACCGUUGGAGCAGUGCUAGCAGUAGCAUAGAUUCUUCAGACGUUUCUGAACCAUUUGAAUCUGAAAUUUUAGGUCGAUUAUGUAUUUCAUCUGAUGGUUUUAAAUGUGGAUUGUGUGAAAGAUUUCUUUCACAAAGAUCCCCUUGGAGUUCACGGCGGAUUGUGAGGAGUGGAGACAUGCCUGUGGCUGGGGUCCUUUCAUGUUGUCAUGUUUUUCAUGCAGAAUGUUUGGAGCAGACAACACCCAAAGCACAUAAAAACGACCCUCCUUGCCCUCUCUGUGUCAGAUUGGAGGAGAAAAAUUCCACAGACCUCCAAGUUUUCCCCAAGUUGAGGAAUGGUUUCCCAAUUUCUAAACCAUCUUCUGAGUAUGGACCAUCUAGGCCCUGGGGCUGUGUGCCAAUGGGAGAUUUUGUUGAAGGUGCACUACAUGAACCCCAUCGGAAUACCAUGUUGCUACUCAACAGGAGCCGAAUGAGAAAGAAUCUUUCUUUGAAGGGGAACUCUAGCAAGGAAUUUCCAGGAAAGCUGAGGAAGAGUGAUUCGUAUUCUUCACAGCCACUGAAUGGAAAAUCUGUUGAUUUUGGAACAGUUGGGUGUUCAAAGACAACAACAACAAAUCCAAGUAUGAAGAGAUUAUAUUAGUAUUACCUUCUCUUUUUAGUUUGCUAAUUGAUUCUGUCUCAUGUUAGCUGGGUAGAUGCCUGGCAAUUGGCAAUGAGAAUGAACAACUAGGUCAUUCUGUAUAGUAAUUUUAUGCCAACUUUUGAAUUGAAAUUGCGGUUGGAAUUUAGGCAAUUGCAUCAUGUAGAAUUACUUCAUAUUUGCUGAAAGAUUGACCUUUUCUUUUCUUUAAUUCUAUUGCUUCUAUGUAUGUUGCUACCAAAAUAGUUAGCCACCUUUUAGAUUG